CGGCGUGCCUAAUACAUGCAAGUCGAACGGACGUUUCUAUGGAAGCUUGCUUCCACUGAGAAGAUAGUGGCGAACGGGUGAGUAACACGUGGGUAACCCUGCCCAUAAGAGGGGGAUAACAUCCGGAAACGGGUGCUAAUACCGCAUAGUUUUCUUGAUCGCAUGAUUGAGAAAGGAAAGACGGCCUUUGUGCUGUCGCUUAUGGAUGGACCCGCGGCGUAUUAGUUAGUUGGUGAGGUAACGGCUCACCAAGACGAUGAUACGUAGCCGACCUGAGAGGGUGAUCGGCCACAUUGGGACUGAGACACGGCCCAAACUCCUACGGGAGGCAGCAGUAGGGAAUCUUCCGCAAUGGACGAAAGUCUGACGGAGCAACGCCGCGUGAGUGAAGAAAGGUUUUCGGAUCGUAAAACUCUGUUGUCAGAGAAGAACAAGUUGGAGAGUAACUGCUCCAGCCUUGACGGUAUCUGACCAGAAAGCCACGGCUAACUACGUGCCAGCCGCAGC
RNAcentral lists this ribosomal RNA (507 nucleotides) under uncultured bacterium. Its description in RNAcentral is "bacterial SSU rRNA". It matches the Rfam family "Bacterial small subunit ribosomal RNA", at positions 40 to 518 of the family's 1533-position model. The record is from RNAcentral.